This 567-nucleotide long non-coding RNA is filed under the name Ananas comosus (pineapple). RNAcentral's name for it is "long non-coding RNA (ACOM_LNC035584)". Lineage: Eukaryota; Viridiplantae; Streptophyta; Magnoliopsida; Poales; Bromeliaceae. The record is from RNAcentral.
UAUAUAUAGAGAGAGAGAGAGAGAGCAGGGUUGCUGUGCUCUCAAGAGCACAGAAGCCUCCGUGCUUCUGAGCCGUUUUCGAUGAUGAAGUUUUCGAAUCGACGAUCGGCUCCGUUAAACUUGAUCUAGCGUAUUUGAAGUUUCUAGAAAAUAAUUUUUGCGAUUUUUCGUAUCAUUUAUCUAGCAAUCGAAAGGAUUCAAAAUUAAUAAUUUUUAACGGCUGAAAAUAAAAAUUCUAUAAAAAGUGGUGAUAUAGCACUAAAAUUUUCGAUCAGAAAUAUUGAUCUUGUUGUAAAUAGUAUAAAAAAUUUUGUAUCAAAAUUUCAUCUGAUUUUAAUACUUCUAUACCGUUAAACUUGAAAACGGCAGAUAUCAACCAUUAAAAAUUAUGGAUUUUGAAUCCUUUCAAUUACUAGGUAAAUGAUAUCAAAAAAUUGCAAAAAUUAUUUUCUACAAACUUCAAAUGCGCUAGAUCAAGUCUAACGGAGCCGAUCGUCGAUUCGAAAAUUCCAUCAUCGAAAAUAGCUCAGGAGCACGGAGGCCUCCGUGCUCCUGAGAGUAUAGCAG